UGAAACCGACUGGGAGAGUGUGCCGAUUCUGGGCACCGCCGAAGGCGCAACACCCGUAACCGCUCAGGCUCAGGAACCAAUCGGAACAG
RNAcentral lists this non-coding RNA (89 nucleotides) under unidentified. RNAcentral's name for it is "Gallionellales bacterium Glycine sequence". It matches the Rfam family "Glycine riboswitch aptamer". Rfam says of the family: This family represents the bacterial glycine riboswitch. Glycine riboswitches usually consist of two metabolite-binding aptamers domains with similar structures in tandem. The record is from RNAcentral.